This 592-nucleotide ribosomal RNA is filed under the name uncultured fungus. Its description in RNAcentral is "eukaryotic LSU rRNA". The stretch from base 226 to 379 matches the Rfam family "5.8S ribosomal RNA". The record is from RNAcentral. Lineage: Eukaryota; Fungi.
UUUAGAGGAAGUAAAAGUCGUAACAAGGUCUCCGCAGGUGAACCUGCGGAGGGAUCAUUACACAAAUAUGAAGGCGGGCUGGAAUCUCUCGGGGUUACAGCCUUGCUGAAUUAUUCACCCUUGUCUUUUGCGUACUUCUUGUUUCCUUGGUGGGUUCGCCCACCACUAGGACAAACAUAAACCUUUUGUAAUUGCAAUCAGCGUCAGUAACAAAUUAAUAAUUACAACUUUCAACAACGGAUCUCUUGGUUCUGGCAUCGAUGAAGAACGCAGCGAAAUGCGAUAAGUAGUGUGAAUUGCAGAAUUCAGUGAAUCAUCGAAUCUUUGAACGCACAUUGCGCCCUUUGGUAUUCCAAAGGGCAUGCCUGUUCGAGCGUCAUUUGUACCCUCAAGCUUUGCUUGGUGUUGGGCGUCUUGUCUCUAGCUUUGCUGGAGACUCGCCUUAAAGUAAUUGGCAGCCGGCCUACUGGUUUCGGAGCGCAGCACAAGUCGCACUCUCUAUCAGCAAAGGUCUAGCAUCCAUUAAGCCUUUUUUCAACUUUUGACCUCGGAUCAGGUAGGGAUACCCGCUGAACUUAAGCAUAUCAAUAAG